This is a long non-coding RNA of Anoplopoma fimbria (sablefish), 877 nucleotides long. RefSeq lists it as uncharacterized. Lineage: Eukaryota; Metazoa; Chordata; Actinopteri; Perciformes; Anoplopomatidae. The record is from RefSeq and is a predicted model, not a curated record. The transcript has 4 exons.
AGAAUGAGAUGCAGGUGAUUUACAUACCAGCCCAGUUUCAUCCAUUCACAGCCAGUUUGUCAAAGUUGCCAUGUUUUUACUUGCUACUUGCUUUUAAGCUUCUGAUCCUUAUAUCCCAUUAUCUUGUCAUCCUGUUACUUGAAAUCUGCCUGCCUAUAUGACAUCCUGCCUGAUUUUGUACUGCCUUCAUGGGGGCAACAUGGAGCAUGAACCUGCACCUGUGAAGCAAAACUGAAGAUGGAGACAAAACACACAGAGACAACACUGUAUCACAAUGAGUCAACAAGUUAGUUUUGGCAGGAGAAAGUCUUUCUUAAUUGGUCGGGGUGUGGUGCCAAGACUCUUUCCAAGAGUGAAGUAGUGAGCCGAUGCCAGCAGAAUAGCCAGGCCACAGGAGGAAGGAGUAUUGUUCUUGGCAUGGAUUGAAGCGACCAAGUCCAAGCACCCAGAUGGACUCCAACAGGCUCCAGCAAUAAUACACACACUGGGAGGAGAAUAGAGGUCACCUCAGGAUACAAACACAAUAAAUCCAUUGUGACUGGCUGUCUCUUUUCAAAGACUUUUCAGAUCGUGUCCUCUGCACAUCGAGGACAACCUGGUGAACAAUCAGUCUCAAAUGUAAACAGAGACCCGGCCUUCAAAAACAGCUUAAGUGGGAACGCUGAAAGCAUCAAUGUGCCGAGCUUUGGCUGGUCUGAUUUCUUUUAUAUGUACACCACAAACACAGAAUAACCUCGGCUGCCUUCUUUUACUGUGUAAGCAUUAUCGAGUUUCAGUCAUUGUUAGGCUCCUGUCCAAGAACUACUUCAGUGCAAAAAUUCAUUAUGUAAGUGCACCAGCACUGCACUGUUUGAACUUAAAAGAUGCCUCUGCAUGA